AUGUGGCCGCCGUCGUCGCAGUCCUACCUGCCCCUCUUCGGUUCCAUCGACAACACCAUUCGAGUUCUCAAGCGGGGCUUAUACCUUAUCUCGUGUGACCUUGAGAGGGUGGUCAAGCCCAACGUCGCGACCCUGCGGGACUCGGGGCUGGAUGAUUGCGACAUUGCCAAGGCGUGCUUCGAUAAUCCACGCCUGCUCACCAGCAAUGUAGAAUCCGUCUGGGCAAUGGUGGCAUCCGCUGACAGUCUUGGUGUGCUCCGUGGAUCUCGGAUGUUCAGGUAUGCAGUGUCUGCUGUUGCGUUCCUCAGCGAGGAGAAGAUCGCCGCCAAGGUGGAGUAUUUGAAGAAAACCUUGAGGUGGUCAGAUGCUCAGGUCGUCAUUGCUGUGUCCAAGUUUCCAAUCUUGCUGACGAGGUCCAAGGACUCUCUGCGGAGCAGAUCAGAGUUCCUCAUCUCUGAGGUGGGCCUUUGUUUGUGCGGUAAGAUGGUAGGCCUUUGUUUCAGUAUUCGUGCCUAA
This 516-nucleotide ribosomal RNA is filed under the name Triticum aestivum (bread wheat). RNAcentral's name for it is "partial small subunit ribosomal RNA". The record is from RNAcentral. Lineage: Eukaryota; Viridiplantae; Streptophyta; Magnoliopsida; Poales; Poaceae.